Molecule: non-coding RNA, 92 nt
Filed under: Mumia flava
Lineage: Bacteria; Bacillati; Actinomycetota; Actinomycetes; Propionibacteriales; Nocardioidaceae
Description: TPP sequence
Rfam family: TPP riboswitch aptamer (THI element)
About the family: Vitamin B(1) in its active form thiamin pyrophosphate (TPP) is an essential coenzyme that is synthesised by coupling of pyrimidine and thiazole moieties in bacteria. The previously detected thiamin-regulatory element, thi box was extended, resulting in a new, highly conserved RNA secondary structure, the THI element, which is widely distributed in eubacteria and also occurs in some archaea. Analysis of operon structures identified a large number of new candidate thiamin-regulated genes, mostly transporters, in various prokaryotic organisms.
Source: Rfam by way of RNAcentral
AGUCGAUGGCCGGGGUGCCCGCAGGGCUGAGAACACACCCGCCGAACCUGAUCCGGGUCAUGCCGGCGAGAGGGAGCCACUGAUGCUCGAAC